This 404-nucleotide ribosomal RNA is filed under the name Verrucomicrobiota bacterium. RNAcentral describes it as "Verrucomicrobia bacterium partial 16S ribosomal RNA". It matches the Rfam family "Bacterial small subunit ribosomal RNA", at positions 355 to 776 of the family's 1533-position model. The record is from RNAcentral. Lineage: Bacteria; Pseudomonadati; Verrucomicrobiota.
UGGGGAAUCUUGCACAAUGGGGGAAACCCUGAUGCAGCGACGCCGCGUGAGCGAUGAAGGCUUUCGAUUUGUAAAGCUCUGUCCUAUGGGAAGAUUAUGACGGUACCAUAGAAGAAAGCCCCGGCUAAUUACGUGCCAGCAGCCGCGGUUAUACGUAAGGGGCGAGUGUUGUCCAGAAUUAUUGGGCUUAAAGGGCAUCUAGGCGGUAAGACAAGUUGAAGGUGGAAACCUGUGGCUCAACCAUAGGCUUGCCUACAAAACUGUUGAACUAGAGUACUGGAAAGGUGGGUGGGACUACACGAGUAGAGGUGAAAUUCGUAGAUAUGUGUAGGAAUGCCGAUGAUGAAGAUAACUCACUGGACUGAAGCAGACGCUGAAGUGCGAAAGAUAGGGGAGCAAACAGG